Molecule: ribosomal RNA, 247 nt
Filed under: uncultured bacterium
Lineage: Bacteria
Description: partial 16S ribosomal RNA
Rfam family: Bacterial small subunit ribosomal RNA
Source: RNAcentral
GCCGCGAGGUGGAGCAAACCUCNGAAAAACCGUCUCAGUUCGGAUUGUAGUCUGCAACUCGACUACAUGGAGCUGGAAUCGCUAGUAAUCGCGAAUCAGAAUGUCGCGGUGAAUACGUUCCCGGGUCUUGUACACACCGCCCGUCACACCAUGGGAGUCGGGAAUGCCCGAAGUCAGUGACCCAACCGGAAGGAGGGAGCUGCCGAAGGUAGAGCCAAUGAUUGGGGUGAAGUCGUAACAAGGUAGC